UCACAUUUGCUUUUUUUUUUUUUUCCCCUUAGUUGAAGUUACUGAUCAGUUCUCGUAAUUCAAGCAAAAACUGAAGUGAAUUAUGAAAUAAUAACCCUUCAGAGCUACGAAGUUAAGAUAAUGAUGCUAAAAGAUUUGUCAAAGAUAGUGUACUAGUUGAUAAUGUAGGGAUAAUAAUGGACCAGCAAGAUAAUGACGCUUAUUUUAUAGGGGAAACAAGAAAGAAAAAGAAACUGGGUUUGUUUGGUGUUGCUUCAAUAGCAACCAUUCUGCUAGCCCUUUCUUGUGAAUUCUGGACAUGAUUUUAAAUGGAAUUGCUCCUUGUGCUCAGAUUCUGCCAUAUGCAUUGUAGUUGAAGCUGUAGCACACUAUACAUGACAAUGACUUGUGGAAUAUCGUAGUUGGGGAAAAUUUUAUUCUUGAAUUUCCUUAUAAAAAUAAUUCCUUGAGAAGUUUCCAAAAUAAAUGACAAGGCUGAUUGAUGGUUUAUGCUGUAGUUGUGCCAGAAUAAUUCACAAGAUGAAGUAAUAGACCCUAGCACAACACUAAGGCAUUUCCAAAUUCAGUUUCAUUCAUCUCCCUCUCAACUGAUGCGAAAUAUGUUUUAUAUGUAACUAACUUUCACAGUGUACGUUAAAAUAUUUCAAUAUAUUAUAGAGUUUAUUCAGGUUUUUAUGCAUUGUUAUAUUUUUAAACACUUUGUGAAAUUUCCAGCUUUAGUAGCUGAAGUUAUUUCUAUCGUUCUCAGUUUUGGGAAGUAUUACAGAUUCAGAUUUACCCUGUGAUAUUUUGUUAUCUUUGAAACAAGCAACGGGCCGUGCACAGCAAAGCCAAAUAUCUGAAAGGCUGUUUACAGCUCUGCAUAGCCACACAAAGCCUGUCAAUGCUCUCAGUUGGUCACAAAGUCAUGGUAUGCACAUUUUAUUGACAAUAUAUAUUCCCCCAGUUCCCUUUUGAGUGUUGUUUCUGUCUUUAGCUGCCCUGUGAAAUGUUGCAUUAUAACCUUGGGUGAUGGGAUGUGUUAGAUAAUGCUUCUGUAAUUACAAGAUUCAAAUUAUGUUUAGGUAAUCUCAGUUUCAUGGAAUAUUUGCCUUCAUGCUUUUUUUAUACAUUUAGUUGGCCUUAUUAAUCUGGCCAUUAUAGUUAGUCUGCAGCUCAUCUUCUUGCCACUGCUGGGAUGGAUCACACCAUAUGCAUAUGGAAUGUGUGGAGCCGAGACCAGAAAAAAAGCACGAACAUUUAGAUUUCAUAAUGCUGCUGUGAAAGAUGUGAAAUGGUCACAGCGAGGAUUAUCAGUGCUUUCUUGUGGAUAUGACUGCUCAUCAAGGUUGAUUGACGUUGAAAAGGGAAUAGAAACUCAGAUUUUCAAGGAAGAUCAGGUUAUUGGAGUUAUCAAGUUCCAUCCAGACAACUCCAAUCUCUUCCUUUCUGGGGGAUCAAAGGGCUGCAUCAGAUUAUGGGACAUUAGAACUGGAAAGGUGGUCCAUGAAUACGUCCGAGAUCUAGGUCCAGUACUUGACGUUGAGUUUACCAUUAAUGGCAAGCAUUUUAUCUCAUCUAGUGAUGUCAGUGGAGGCAAUGUUAGUGAAAAUUCAAUUAUUGUUUGGGAUGUAUCACGACAGGUUCCACUGUCCAACCAGGUUUAUGUGGAAGCCUAUACCUGUCCCUGUAUAAGAUGCCACCCAUUUGAUCCUUGUUUUGUUGCCCAGUCAAAUGGAAAUUAUAUAGCAAUCUUCUCUUCAAGUCCCCCAUUCAAGCUAAACAAGUAUAAAAGGUAUGAAAGCCAUGGGGUAUCUGGGUUCCCUAUUAAGUGCAAUUUCAGCUUGGAUGGUGAGAAGCUUGUUUCUGGCUCCUCAGAUGGUUCCAUAUACUUGUACAGCUAUAGAUCAUCAGAUAUUAUCAAGAAAAUCAAGGCGUAUGAGCAGGCCUGCAUUGAUGUUGCUUUCCAUCCAAUAAUGCCCAAUGUAAUUGCUUCAUGUGGUUGGAAUGGAGAGGUUUCUGUAUUUGAGUGAGACGAGAGCUUACUUUCCACUUCAUUCAUGGGCAGUGUUGACUGCUGGAAAGCUGUGCCAAACAAACAAAAUUGUAAGGAAAACUUUUGAAACCAGGUGUUGUACAUUAUGCUUUUGAGAGUGAAAAGGAAUGGUUGAAAAUGUGCUGCGCCACGUUUGCUCUCUUGAUCAUGGACAAUGCAAACUAUUUUGCUUCAGCUGGUUUAAUUUGUUC
RNAcentral lists this unclassified non-coding RNA (2226 nucleotides) under Hevea brasiliensis (rubber tree). Lineage: Eukaryota; Viridiplantae; Streptophyta; Magnoliopsida; Malpighiales; Euphorbiaceae. The record is from RNAcentral.